AGGCUAUAUAAGGAGCUACUGGCUCCCCGUCUCAGUCUUUUACGUAGGCCUUCGUGGUCGUUUGGUCGUGUGGUAGGUAAGCGUCGGUGUUGCGGGCGAGUACUGGAGCAAAAGGUGGAGGUGCAGGCCGAGUUAAGAGUUUUGAUAGUGUGAAACCAUCUUAGUGUAGAGCUUAGAGUGCUGAGAGUUGAAAGCUUGCACGUGGGAAAUGUGCAGCCCGACCGCCACAUGUACUGAGAUUGAGUCGUGACGGCCACAGGCUCCGAGUUUUGGCGUGAGGAGAACGCUGAUCGGCCACGGGUGCCGCGCUUGCUGGCCUCUGGCAUGUGCCUGAACGGCGGCGGAAAAACCACACUUAAUUGGGGCAGAGGGUUAGUUUUAAGAGCAAGGGGCUUUUACUAAAAUGGCGAAGACCUUCCGUCGGCGUUGUUUUAAAACGGGCAGCCUCAACCCUGCAUUGAGACUGAGCUGUUCGAAGGCGGCGUUGUGUGCAAUUCGGAUUAAUGAAGGGGAAAGGUUUUGUGUGGAAAAACACCUUGGAGUGUGACGUUUCUGCGAGAAUACUUAAAUAUCGGUUUCCCGCAGGAACAAUGGCGCUGUCAUGGCCCAGCAGAGCAGCUCUGAAGAUGCAAAGAUACAUGAAAGAAUUCCAGAAUAUGCGGGAGAAUAUUUAA
RNAcentral lists this long non-coding RNA (674 nucleotides) under Theropithecus gelada (gelada). RNAcentral describes it as "lncRNA (ENSTGEG00000018755.1)". The record is from RNAcentral. Lineage: Eukaryota; Metazoa; Chordata; Mammalia; Primates; Cercopithecidae.